GUUGCAGCAGUGGCAUUUUGGUUUUUGGAGACAGGGUGACGUGUCAGAGACAAUCAAAGUCUUCUUUGAGCAGAGCAAGUCUUUCCCCCCAGCUGCCAAGAGCCUCCUUACCAUCCAGGAAGUGGAUGAGUUCCUUCUGCGGCUGUCCAAGCUAACCAAGGAGGAUGAGCAGCAACAGGCACUACAGGACAUUGCCUCCAGGUGUACAGCCAAUGACCUUAAAUGCAUCAUCAGGUUGAUCAAACAUGAUCUGAAGAUGAACUCAGGUGCAAAACAUGUGUUAGACGCCCUUGACCCCAAUGCCUAUGAAGCCUUCAAAGCCUCACGCAACCUGCAGGAUGUGGUGGAGCGGGUCCUUCACAACGCGCAGGAGGUAGAGAAGGAGCCGGGCCAGAGACGAGCUCUGAGCGUCCAGGCCUCGCCGAUGACACCUGUGCAGCCCAUGUUGGCGGAGGCCUGCAAGUCCGUUGAAUAUGCAAUGAAGAAAUGUCCCAAUGGCAUGUUCUCUGAAAUCAAGUACGAUGGAGAGCGAGUCCAGGUGCAUAAGAAUGGAGACCACUUCAGCUACUUCAGCCGCAGUCUCAAGCCCGUCCUUCCUCACAAGGUGGCCCACUUUAAGGACUACAUUCCCCAGGCUUUUCCUGGGGGCCACAGCAUGAUCUUGGAUUCUGAAGUGCUUCUGAUUGACAACAAGACAGGCAAACCACUGCCCUUUGGGACUCUGGGAGUGCACAAGAAAGCAGCCUUCCAGGAUGCUAAUGUCUGCCUGUUUGUUUUUGAUUGUAUCUACUUUAAUGAUGUCAGCUUGAUGGACAGACCUCUGUGUGAGCGGCGGAAGUUUCUUCAUGACAACAUGGUUGAAAUUCCAAACCGGAUCAUGUUCUCAGAAAUGAAGCGAGUCACA
RNAcentral lists this small RNA (904 nucleotides) under Pongo abelii (Sumatran orangutan). RNAcentral describes it as "retained intron". Lineage: Eukaryota; Metazoa; Chordata; Mammalia; Primates; Hominidae. The record is from RNAcentral.